This 449-nucleotide ribosomal RNA is filed under the name uncultured bacterium. RNAcentral describes it as "partial 16S ribosomal RNA". It matches the Rfam family "Bacterial small subunit ribosomal RNA", at positions 29 to 523 of the family's 1533-position model. The record is from RNAcentral.
AACGAACGCUGGCGGCAGGCCUAACACAUGCAAGUCGAACGCCGUAGCAAUACGGAGUGGCAGACGGGUGAGUAACGCGUGGGAACCUACCUUACGGUCGGGAAUAGCUCAGGGAAACUUGGGGUAAUACCGGAUACGCCCUUACGGGGAAAGAUUUAUCGCCGUUAGAUGGGCCCGCGUAGGAUUAGCUAGUUGGUGAGGUAAUGGCUCACCAAGGCGACGAUCCUUAGCUGGUCUGAGAGGAUGAUCAGCCACACUGGGACUGAGACACGGCCCAGACUCCUACGGGAGGCAGCAGUGGGGAAUAUUGGACAAUGGGCGCAAGCCUGAUCCAGCCAUGCCGCGUGAGUGACAAAGGCCUUAGGGUUGUAAAGCUCUUUUGGCGGGGAAGAUAAUGACGGUACCCGCAGAAUAAGCUCCGGCUAACUUCGUGCCAGCAGCCGCGGUAA